CCUACGGGGGCAGCAGUGGGGAAUAUUGCACAAUGGGCGCAAGCCUGAUGCAGCCAUGCCGCGUGUAUGAAGAAGGCCUUCGGGUUGUAAAGUACUUUCAGCGAGGAGGAAGGCAUUGUGGUUAAUAACCGCAGUGAUUGACGUUACUCGCAGAAGAAGCACCGGCUAACUCCGUGCCAGCAGCCGCGGUAAUACGGAGGGUGCAAGCGUGAAUCGGAAUUACUGGGCGUAAAGCGCACGCAGGCGGUCUGUCAAGUCGGAUGUGAAAUCCCCAGGCUCAACCUGGGAACUGCAUUCGAAACUGGCAGGCUAGAGUCUUGUAGAGGGGGGUAGAAUUCCAGGUGUAGCGGUGAAAUGCGUAGAGAUCGGGAGGAAUACCGGUGGCGAAGGCGGCCCCCUGGACAAAGACUGACGCUCAGGUGCGAAAGCGUGGGGAGCAAACAGGAUUAGAUACCCUUGUAGUC
RNAcentral lists this ribosomal RNA (464 nucleotides) under uncultured Buttiauxella sp. Its description in RNAcentral is "bacterial SSU rRNA". It matches the Rfam family "Bacterial small subunit ribosomal RNA", at positions 338 to 795 of the family's 1533-position model. The record is from RNAcentral. Lineage: Bacteria; Pseudomonadati; Pseudomonadota; Gammaproteobacteria; Enterobacterales; Enterobacteriaceae.